This 309-nucleotide ribosomal RNA is filed under the name Triticum aestivum (bread wheat). RNAcentral describes it as "partial small subunit ribosomal RNA". Lineage: Eukaryota; Viridiplantae; Streptophyta; Magnoliopsida; Poales; Poaceae. The record is from RNAcentral.
AUGUUUUUUUCCGUUUAUGGAACUUCUUUUGAUGAUUGCUUAAGCAACCUUGAUCAAGUUUUGCAGAGAUGUGAACAAACUAAUCUUGUCUUGAAUUGGGAGAAGUGCCACUUUAUGGUGAAUGAAUUGGGGCAUAAAAUUUAUGAGCAUGGCAUUGAAGUGGAUAAUGCUAAAGUUGCUGCAACUGAGAAAAUGCCAUGUCCUAAAGAUAUUAAAGGUAUAAGAAGUUUACUUGGUCAUGUUGGGUUCUGUAGGAGGUUUAUUAAAGACUUCUCUAAAAAAAUUAAGCCUCUUACUAAUCUCUUGUAA